This 872-nucleotide ribosomal RNA is filed under the name uncultured bacterium. RNAcentral describes it as "bacterial SSU rRNA". It matches the Rfam family "Bacterial small subunit ribosomal RNA", at positions 8 to 916 of the family's 1533-position model. The record is from RNAcentral.
AGAGUUUGAUCCUGGCUCAGGAUAAACGCUGGCGGCGUGCCUAACACAUGCAAGUCGAACGCCCUAAGCAAUUAGGGAGUGGCGGACGGGUGAGGAACACGUGGGUGAUCUACCCAGAGGUGAGGAAUACCGGCGAGAAAUCGCCGACAAAACCGCAUAGGCUCGGGGAACCGAGCAAAGUCGCAAGACGCCUGUGGAUGAGCCUGCGUCCGAUUAGCUAGUUGGUGGGGUAAAAGCUCACCAAGGCGACGAUCGGUAGCUGGUCUGAGAGGACGAUCAGCCACACUGGGAUUGAGAACGGCCCAGACUCCUACGGGGGGCAGCAGUGAGGAAUUUUCGUCAAUGGUCGCAAGACUGAACGAGCAACGCCGCGUGCAGGAAGAAGGUUUUCGGAUCGUAAACUGCUUUUCUGUGGGAAGAGAAUGGACGGUACCACAGGAAGAAGCCCCGGCUAACUACGUGCCAGCAGCCGCGGUAAUACGUAGGGGGCGAGCGUUGUCCGGAGUUACUGGGCGUAAAGGGCGUGCAGGCGGUGCGGCAAGUUUGGAGUGACAGUUCCCGGCUUAACUGGGGAAGGCCUCUGAAAACUGCUGGACUUGAGGGCCAGAGAGGGACAUAGAAUUCCGGGUGGAGUGGUGAAAUGCGUAGAUAUCCGGAGGAAUACCAAAGGCGAAGGCAGUGUCCUGGCUGGCAUCUGACGCUGAGGCGCGAAAGCUAGGGGAGCGAACAGGAUUAGAUACCCUGGUAGUCCUAGCCGUAAACGAUGACCACUAGAUGUGCGGGGUAUCGACCCCCUGCGUGUCGGAGAUAACUUUUUAAGUGGUCCGCCUGGGGAGUACGGUCGCAAGAUUAAAACUUAAAGGAAUUGACGG